GGCGAAUGAAGCGGGAACAGCUCAAAUUUGAAAUCUCCGGCCCGACGGGGCCGGCGAAUUGUAGUUUAGAGAAACGCUCUCCAAGGCGGAUCACCCCAACGGUUCCCCGUCCAAGUUGCCUGGAACGGCACGUCGCAGAGGGUGACAACCCCGUACGAGGCGGGACCGGCCGCUCCGCGAGGGCGCUUUCCAAGAGUCGGGUUGUUUGGGAAUGCAGCCCAAAACGGGUGGUAAACUCCAUCUAAAGCUAAAUACGGGCACGAGACCGAUAGCGAACAAGUACCGUGAGGGAAAGAUGAAAAGCACUUUGAAAAGAGAGUUCAACAGUACGUGAAACCGUUAGAGGGGAAACGAAUGGCGUCAGCAAUGCGCCCGAUCGAGAUUCACGCGGCGGGGCGGGUCCGCGGCCGCUCUUCGCGGAUCCGAUCUCUUCUCCCCCCCUCGCGGGGGGUGCGCGAUCGGACCGCGGUCGGCCGGAGCUCCCGUCUUCCGCCGUCGCACUUCUCGCGGGCGCCGGUCAGCGUCGGUUGGCACCGGGUCUCAAGGGCGCUUGGAGGGAAGGUCUCGUUUGUUUAUAGCCCUCCGUGCCGUCAUGGCCCGGAGCCGACCGAGGAGCCGCGGCGCGUGCCGCCCAUCGGGCGGCUGGGGACUCUCGCGCACGGUCGGCGAUCUCGCGGCGGACUGCCUGGCAGUGCGUCGCGACGGUUUCUUGUUCGGCCGCGCCGGGAGAAAAGCUCCACACACGAUAGCGCGCCCAGGACGCUGGCGGUCAUAUGACCUCAUCCGACCCGUCUUGAAACACGGACCAAGGAGUCUAACAUGUGCGCGAGUCUUGGAGCGAGAGAGGCUCCCGGGCGCGAUGAGAGUGACCUAGGGUCGGAACCCGCCGUCGCAGACGGGCGGGCGCACGAUCGACCGACCUCGUUCUGCUCUCAAGAC
Molecule: ribosomal RNA, 939 nt
Filed under: Isosicyonis striata
Lineage: Eukaryota; Metazoa; Cnidaria; Anthozoa; Actiniaria; Actiniidae
Description: eukaryotic LSU rRNA
Rfam family: Eukaryotic large subunit ribosomal RNA
Source: RNAcentral